GAUGAACGCUGGCGGCGUGCCUAAUACAUGCAAGUCGAGCGAACAGACGAGGAGCUUGCUCCUCUGACGUUAGCGGCGGACGGGUGAGUAACACGUGGAUAACCUACCUAUAAGACUGGGAUAACUUCGGGAAACCGGAGCUAAUACCGGAUAAUAUAUUGAACCGCAUGGUUCAAUAGUGAAAGACGGUUUUGCUGUCACUUAUAGAUGGAUCCGCGCCGCAUUAGCUAGUUGGUAAGGUAACGGCUUACCAAGGCAACGAUGCGUAGCCGACCUGAGAGGGUGAUCGGCCACACUGGAACUGAGACACGGUCCAGACUCCUACGGGAGGCAGCAGUAGGGAACCUUCCGCAAUGGGCGAAAGCCUGACGGAGCAACGCCGCGUGAGUGAUGAAGGUCUUCGGAUCGUAAAACUCUGUUAUUAGGGAAGAACAAAUGUGUAAGUAACUAUGCACGUCUUGACGGUACCUAAUCAGAAAGCCACGGCUAACUAUGUG
Molecule: ribosomal RNA, 497 nt
Filed under: uncultured bacterium
Lineage: Bacteria
Description: partial 16S ribosomal RNA
Rfam family: Bacterial small subunit ribosomal RNA
Source: RNAcentral